CCACCACUAAGCCAGUGGUGAACUCCACAUACGCAUCCUUUGCUGAGGAUACGGUUAACGGAGCGAAAGCGACGUUCAACCGCAAAAGAAGCAGAGGGGGCUUAGUGGUGGGGUGACUGCGUACCUUUUGUAUAAUGGGUCAGCGACUUAUAUUCUGUAGCAAGGUUAACCGCAUAGGGGAGCCGGAGGGAAACCGAGUCUUAAUUGGGCGUUAAGUUGCAGGGUAUAGACCCGAAACCCGGUGAUCUAGCCAUGGGCAGGUUGAAGGUUGGGUAACACUAACUGGAGGACCGAACCGACUAAUGUUGAAAAAUUAGCGGAUGACCUGUGGCUGGGGGUGAAAGGCCAAUCAAACCGGGAGAUAGCUGGUUCUCCCCGAAAGCUAUUUAGGUAGCGCCUCGUGAACUCAUCUCCGGGGGUAGAGCACUGUUUCGGCUAGGGGGCCAUCCCGGCUUACCAACCCGAUGCAAACUGCGAAUACCGGAGAAUGUUAUCACGGGAGACACACGGCGGGUGCUAACGUCCGUCGUGAAGAGGGAAACAACCCAGACCGCCAGCUAAGGUCCCAAAGUCAUGGUUAAGUGGGAAACGAUGUGGGAAGGCCCAGACAGCCAGGAUGUUGGCUUAGAAGCAGCCAUCAUUUAAAGAAAGCGUAAUAGCUCACUGGUCGAGUCGGCCUGCGCGGAAGAUGUAACGGGGCUAAACCAUGCACCGAAGCUGCGGCAGCGACGCUGAUGCGUUGUUGGGUA
This 749-nucleotide ribosomal RNA is filed under the name Salmonella enterica subsp. enterica. RNAcentral describes it as "partial 23S ribosomal RNA". It matches the Rfam family "Bacterial large subunit ribosomal RNA", at positions 1 to 1230 of the family's 2925-position model. Lineage: Bacteria; Pseudomonadati; Pseudomonadota; Gammaproteobacteria; Enterobacterales; Enterobacteriaceae. The record is from RNAcentral.